Molecule: ribosomal RNA, 225 nt
Filed under: uncultured Sphaerotilus sp.
Lineage: Bacteria; Pseudomonadati; Pseudomonadota; Betaproteobacteria; Burkholderiales; Sphaerotilaceae
Description: partial 16S ribosomal RNA
Rfam family: Bacterial small subunit ribosomal RNA
Source: RNAcentral
UGACGAGUUUGAUCCUGGCUCAGAUUGAACGCUGGCGGUAUGCCUUACACAUGCAAGUCGAACGGUAGAGGAGCAAUCCUCGAGAGUGGCGAACGGGUGAGUAAUACAUCGGAACGUGCCCAGGUCUGGGGAUAACGUAGCGAAAGCUACGCUAAUACCGCAUACGACCCGAGGGUGAAAGCGGGGGACUCGCAAGAGCCUCGCGCGAUUGGAGCGGCCGAUGGC